Molecule: ribosomal RNA, 253 nt
Filed under: uncultured bacterium
Lineage: Bacteria
Description: partial 16S ribosomal RNA
Rfam family: Bacterial small subunit ribosomal RNA
Source: RNAcentral
UACGUAGGGAGCAAGCGUUGUCCGGAAUCAUUGGGCGUAAAGCGCGCGUAGGCGGCCCGGUAAGUCCGCUGUAAAAGUCCAGGGCUCAACCCUGGAAAGCCGGUGGAUACUGUCGGGCUAGAGUCCGGAAGAGGCGAGUGGAAUUCCUGGUGUAGCGGUGGAAUGCGCAGAUAUCAGGAGGAACACCAAUUGCGAAGGCAGCUCGCUGGGACGUUACUGACGCUGAGACGCGAAAGCGUGGGGAGCAAACAGG